UGCAUAUCAAAAAAGCGGAGGAAAAGAAACUAACAAGGAUUCCCCUAGUAACGGCGAGUGAAGCGGGAAGAGCUCAAAUUUGAAAUCUGGUAGCCUUCGGUUGCCCGAGUUGUAAUCUAGAGAAGUGUUUUCCGUGCCGGCCCAUGUACAAGUCCCUUGGAACAGGGCGUCAUAGAGGGUGAGAAUCCCGUCCUUGACAUGGACCCCCGGUGCUUUGUGAUACACUUUCAACGAGUCGAGUUGUUUGGGAAUGCAGCUCAAAAUGGGUGGUGAAUUCCAUCUAAAGCUAAAUAUUGGCGAGAGACCGAUAGCGAACAAGUACCGUGAGGGAAAGAUGAAAAGCACUUUGGAAAGAGAGUUAAACAGUACGUGAAAUUGUUGAAAGGGAAACGAUUGAAGUCAGUCAUGCUCUUGGGACUUACCUCCCUUGAGUGGGGUCAACAUCAGUUUUGAUCGAUGGAUAAAGGCACGGGGAAGGUAGCACUCUCGGGUGAACUUAUAGCCUCGCGUCAUAUACAUUGAUUGGGACUGAGGAACGCAGCAUGCCUUAUGGCCGGGAUUCGUCCACGUACAUGCUUAGGAUGUGACCAU
This 591-nucleotide ribosomal RNA is filed under the name Naganishia albida. RNAcentral's name for it is "eukaryotic LSU rRNA". It matches the Rfam family "Eukaryotic large subunit ribosomal RNA", at positions 37 to 639 of the family's 3401-position model. Lineage: Eukaryota; Fungi; Basidiomycota; Tremellomycetes; Filobasidiales; Filobasidiaceae. The record is from RNAcentral.